CCCAGACUCCUACGGGAGGCAGCAGUGGGGAAUAUUGCACAAUGGGGGGAACCCUGAUGCAGCGACGCCGCGUGAGUGAAGAAGUAUUUCGGUAUGUAAAGCUCUAUCAGCAGGGAAGAUAAUGACGGUACCUGACUAAGAAGCCCCGGCUAACUACGUGCCAGCAGCCGCGGUAAUACGUAGGGGGCAAGCGUUAUCCGGAUUUACUGGGUGUAAAGGGUGCGUAGGUGGCAGGGCAAGUCAGAUGUGAAAGCCCGGGGCCCAACCCCGGUACUGCAUUUGAAACUGUCCGGCUGGAGUGCAGGAGAGGUAAGCGGAAUUCCUAGUGUAGCGGUGAAAUGCGUAGAUAUUAGGAGGAACACCAGUGGCGAAGGCGGCUUACUGGACUGUAACUGACACUGAGGCACGAAAGCGUGGGGAGCAAACAGGAUUAGAUACCCGCGUAA
Molecule: ribosomal RNA, 446 nt
Filed under: uncultured bacterium
Lineage: Bacteria
Description: bacterial SSU rRNA
Rfam family: Bacterial small subunit ribosomal RNA
Source: RNAcentral